Molecule: non-coding RNA, 2783 nt
Organism: Punica granatum (pomegranate)
Lineage: Eukaryota; Viridiplantae; Streptophyta; Magnoliopsida; Myrtales; Lythraceae
Source: RefSeq, a predicted model, not a curated record
UGCCCUUCUCUGCUCCUCGACUUCUCCUUUCAUUCUCUAUCAAUCUCGUCUCUCAGAAAUUCUCUCUCGAUUUCUUGGUGUCUCUUCGUUUCAGGUGAGUUCGAUAGCCUCGAGUCCUUCGCGACCACCAGCGACCAGACCCACUCCGAGUGGCAUCCUCAGCCACAGCCUCGAACCUCAGCCUAUAGAUUGUCGGCAAGAGCAGCAGCAGACUCACAAGCAGACCCGACGGCCAACCGGCAAGCUCGAAAAUUUCUGAAGCCAAUCUACUACCAGGGAGUGAUCUGACCCUUCAAUUUUUCAGCAAAAUGUUGGUUCAGUGGUGUUGCCUUGUGGUAUCCUGAGCUGAGAAUUAAAGUGUUGUCGUUACAUAGGCCGUUGUUUGCUGUGGUUUUGACUAAAAUUGCUGGUGCUGGUGACUUUGGUUGGGUGCUGGAUGUCCUCUAGUGUUAAUCUUGUGUGGUUGUUUUGAGGGUGUGUUGGCUGUUUGGGAAUAUUGUGGCUAAAUUUAGUUGUCUGAGACUUUAGAUUCCAUCAACAAUGCCUCCUAGGAAGUCCACUCGAGUGAGGUCAAGUAGGAGAAUAACCGAAGUGUUUGUGAACAAAGAAGCUAAAGAUAUAUACGCUAUAGUUUUUGCACGGAAACCCUUGAUAAAUUGGAGGGAUUAUGAACCUAUUUUCAUAGAAGGGAUUGGGAAACUUUUCUAGCUGUGCCCGAACCGGCCGUCAUCCCUGUAGUUUGAGAGGUCUAAGCCAAUUUGGUAGCACCGAGAAGACGAGGUCAUGGUUAGGGGAUGACCGGUUGAUUUCUCUCGAAAGUCCAUCAAUGAGUUUUACGAGAUACCAGAUGAGGGUGAUUAUUAUUACUCAACGUUCCUCAACCAUCAUUGUGAUAGAACUGUCAGAAUUGGGACUCCGUAUGGCUGUUGAGUAAAGAUGAUGAAUCUCCCCUGUCUAUUCCAUCAAUUAAGCCAAAGCUUAAAGCAUUGAUGCACUUUGUCUCAUCCCCGUCUCUACUCUAUACUUUACUUGAGUGGAUGUAUAUAAGCACGUGUAUUGUGCAGAGUCUGUAAUUUAUUCUUUAUUUCUUUGUAAAUUUGCGAAUAAAGAUCUCGACCAUAGGAUUAAACAAACUUGACUCUAAGAAUAAAAGGUCUUAGAACUAUUAGGAGCCCAAGAGGGUACAAAAUGGGCGAGUUAUUGGUUUGCAGGCCUCUAAUCUCGUAACAAAGCAUCCGGACUCAUUUCUGUGGUUAGAAGACCAAGUCAAACUCAAAUCCUUAGGCGGUCGGUAUCUUGAUCCCACAAGUGACUUAGGUGGCUCAGCAGUCAAAUAAACGGUGUAGUGACGGCUCCAAUCCAAUUAGGUCCCAGGCCACACGAAGUAACCGAAUUUUCAUGUUCGUGGCGGAGGCCUAAAAACCAUGCCGUGCGACACUACAUAAGAAGAUUGGGAGCAUGCUCAUUCGGUUUUGUGUUUUUGAAGGUUUUCUUUGUUGUUACCAUGCGAAUUUUAGGUACCUCUUAUGUUACUAAUAACAGGUACAUGAAAGAAGUAUUUGGCAUAGGGAUUAAAAUCAACUCCUAUUGUAGUUCGAGUGAUGAAUAUCCACUUGAUGGCUAGCAGAAUGAAGGUAUAAGAAGUACUAGGGAGAUCCUGAUGAUAUCAAUAUUUGUUGAUAGCUGUGGUUCUCGAUCCUAGGCAAAAAUUGAAGUAUGUCACUUGGUUUGUCAAUCACUUUGAUGAGGCUAUGGCAGCAAAUUGAAAAAGAAGUUGGAUUCUAGUUUGACAUAAGUUUAUGAGCAAUAUGAGGGUCUUGGCGGCAUAGAGUCUUCAAGUGCUCAGCAAGAAAGAGCAAUUGCAGUAGAGGAGGAUGAUCCUUAUUGUGAAGGGUUAUAUUUAUAGUCGACUGGGCAAAGAUCGGUAAGAAGUUCGAGCUUGAGAAGUACUUGAAUGAAGAUUGUAAACCAUACCAAAGUGGUGUGAGUUGGAUAUGUUAAGCUGGUGGAAGGUGAAUUCAACUCGAUUGCCGAUCCUUGCUAGCAUAGCUCUGGAACCUGUCUCAACUUUAGCCUUCGAGUCUCCUUUUAGCAUGGGAGGAAGGGUACUCAAUCCUUAUCGUAGUUCCUUGACACCCAGAAUGGUGGAAGCUCUUCUUUGCACCCAAGAUUGGAUGAAGACUAUGCCCUUUUCAUUGUUGACAGAAGAGGACUUUUGUGGAGCUUGAAAAAUUUGAGCAAGAUAUUCGUUAAGGUUCUAAUAAUUAUGGAAUAUCCUUUUCCAGUUUCUUAAUGGGUCAUGUUUUAAUUUUUGUCAAGUAACGAGAGCUUAUGCUUUCUUUCAUUUCGUUUUUUUACGGAGGUGGCAUCGGCAUCUCAGCCGGAAGCAGCAAGUUCGGGCUAUAUAACUAUUGACGAAGAUUGAGCAUGUGGAAGAGAGAGGCGUUCUGGCCGGAAUCACGUGGAGAAUGGGGAUCUGGCUAUUUUCCGAGCAUGUGGAGAACGUGGAUCUAAGUCUCGUGCUUCAUAGUUGAUAUUGGGUUUCUUAUUAUUUUGAAUCUAGAUUGAAAUAUCAUGGCUUUUUGUGGAUCGGGAUAUUAAUCGUUUCGCAACUUUUGAUUUCAGGAUAUUAUUGUUUAUGUAUUUUGGGACUAGAUUUGUGACUUGGCAAGUUGUGACUUCGUGUUCGUGUUGCCAACUUAAGUCUUUUAACUGUUAUGCCCUAUGCGGCCUUGGACUUUGUUGAGCAUUGCUUAAUGCUUAUUUCUAUGUUCUUAUUUUAA